CAGGGUGUAGUUCAGUUGGGAGAACGCCGGAAUCGGGUUCCGGAGGUCGCUGGUUCAAGCCCAGUCACCCUGA
RNAcentral lists this transfer RNA (73 nucleotides) under Thermotoga sp. RNAcentral's name for it is "tRNA-Pro". It matches the Rfam family "tRNA". From Rfam's summary of the family: Transfer RNA (tRNA) molecules are approximately 80 nucleotides in length. Their secondary structure includes four short double-helical elements and three loops (D, anti-codon, and T loops). Lineage: Bacteria; Thermotogati; Thermotogota; Thermotogae; Thermotogales; Thermotogaceae. RNAcentral also lists the same sequence under 2 other names. The record is from RNAcentral.